GGCCUCGUAGCUCAGCUGGUAGAGCGCUCGUGGCACGAAAGUGAGGGUGGCAAUCAUGAGUGGGUUCGAGUCCCACCGAGGCCA
This 84-nucleotide transfer RNA is filed under the name Fasciola hepatica (liver fluke). It matches the Rfam family "tRNA". From Rfam's summary of the family: Transfer RNA (tRNA) molecules are approximately 80 nucleotides in length. Their secondary structure includes four short double-helical elements and three loops (D, anti-codon, and T loops). Lineage: Eukaryota; Metazoa; Platyhelminthes; Trematoda; Plagiorchiida; Fasciolidae. The record is from Rfam by way of RNAcentral.